This 467-nucleotide ribosomal RNA is filed under the name uncultured bacterium. RNAcentral describes it as "partial 16S ribosomal RNA". It matches the Rfam family "Bacterial small subunit ribosomal RNA", at positions 29 to 507 of the family's 1533-position model. The record is from RNAcentral.
ACGAACGCUGGCGGCGUGCUUAACACAUGCAAGUCGAACGGAAAGGCCCUGCUUUUGUGGGGUGCUCGAGUGGCGAACGGGUGAGUAACACGUGAGUAACCUGCCCUUGACUUUGGGAUAACUUCAGGAAACUGGGGCUAAUACCGGAUAGGAGCUCCUGCUGCAUGGUGGGGGUUGGAAAGUUUCGGCGGUUGGGGAUGGACUCGCGGCUUAUCAGCUUGUUGGUGGGGUAGUGGCUUACCAAGGCUUUGACGGGUAGCCGGCCUGAGAGGGUGACCGGCCACAUUGGGACUGAGAUACGGACCAGACUCCUACGGGAGGCAGCAGUGGGGAAUAUUGCACAAUGGGCGGAAGCCUGAUGAAGCAACGCCGCGUGCGGGAUGACGGCCUUAGGGUUGUAAACCGCUUUCGGCUGUGACGAAGCGUGAGUGACGGUAAUGGGUAAAGAAGCACCGGCUAUCUACGUG